ACGACGCUGGCGGCGUGCCUAACACAUGCAAGUCAACUUGACUGAAGGAGCAAUCUGACAGUAGAGUGGCGCAAGGGUGCGUAACGCGUAAGUAACUUGCCCAAGGUAAGGAAUAACGUCGAGAAAUCGGCGCUAAUACCUCAUAAUGCAGCGGAUCCGCAUGGAUAUGUGUUAAGGUUUACCGCCUUGGGAUAGGCUUGCGUCUGAUUAGCUAGUUGGUGUGGUAACGGCACACCAAGGCUACGAUCAGUAACUGGUCUGAGAGGAUGAUCAGUCACACUGGAACUGAGACACGGUCCAGACUCCUACGGGAGGCAGCAGUGAGGAAUAUUGGGCAAUGCUCGAAAGAGUGACCCAGCAACGCCGCGUGGAGGAUGAAGGUAUUCUAUAUCGUAAACUCCUGUGAGAGCAGACGAAAGACAGAUUAUUAAUCUGGAUGACUGUAUGCUCAGAGGAAGCCCCGGCUAACUACGUG
RNAcentral lists this ribosomal RNA (475 nucleotides) under uncultured bacterium. RNAcentral's name for it is "bacterial SSU rRNA". It matches the Rfam family "Bacterial small subunit ribosomal RNA", at positions 32 to 507 of the family's 1533-position model. The record is from RNAcentral.